UACGUAGGGUGCGAGCGUUAAUCGGAAUUACUGGGCGUAAAGCGUGCGCAGGCGGCUUUGUAAGCCAGAUGUGAAAUCCCCCGGCUUAACCAGGGAACUGCGUCUGAUACUGGAUGGCUUGAGAUUGGGAGAGGGAUGCGGAAUUCCAGGUGUAGCGGUGAAAUGCGUAGAUAUCUGGAGGAACACCGGUGGCGAAGGCGGCAUCCUGGACCAACACUGACGCUGAUGAGCGAAAGCCAGGGGAGCAAACGGG
RNAcentral lists this ribosomal RNA (253 nucleotides) under uncultured bacterium. Its description in RNAcentral is "partial 16S ribosomal RNA". It matches the Rfam family "Bacterial small subunit ribosomal RNA", at positions 524 to 776 of the family's 1533-position model. The record is from RNAcentral.